This 611-nucleotide long non-coding RNA is filed under the name Zalophus californianus (California sea lion). RNAcentral describes it as "lncRNA (ENSZCAG00015003735.1)". The record is from RNAcentral. Lineage: Eukaryota; Metazoa; Chordata; Mammalia; Carnivora; Otariidae.
CAGUAACUAAACAUACUCCUUAUACAAUCAAUGAAUGUACUAAAUUCCUGGGAUUUAUUGCAAUCUCUUAUGAAUGAUUUUCACUGAAUACCUUUAUAUUUUCUUGCACUGGCUUACAAGAAAAAAAAAAAAGACUAGAAGAAGAAAUUAAGAAAAGGCAGUUGCUUCACAGAAGCGUAAGCUUUCCUGUUUACCGCAAGGCCGGGGCGGGCUUGGCUGCCCACACCCCUCGGACCCUGAGCACAACCUGUUCCUAGAGAGUUAUUAAUAGACCCCAAAGAAUGGACUUACUCUGUCAAAUGAUUUUCGUGCAAAUCUAAUGUCUUGCAAGGCAAUUAGGAGGUGGUUCUCAGCUCUUUUAGCUGGGUGGUGGUGGCAAGCAGAGGUGGUGUGCGUCUCCACCCUCAUAUUAGGGGUUGGGUCUCUUCCGAGGUGAGACCAAGACCCAAGACCAAGGUGAACCCGCUGCUGCUGUUUCCGAGGCCCUCUCCAACCAAGGCAAAGAGACACAAAAAGCCUGGAACUCUCGGACAGAACCACCUCCCGCCGCAAGUGAAGGCUCGCUCGGCCUCGCCCUCUAGCGUUCUUCUGGAGAAGCGCCACCCCCGGAU